RNAcentral lists this ribosomal RNA (433 nucleotides) under uncultured bacterium. RNAcentral's name for it is "partial 16S ribosomal RNA". It matches the Rfam family "Bacterial small subunit ribosomal RNA", at positions 28 to 507 of the family's 1533-position model. The record is from RNAcentral.
GACGAACGCUGGCGGCAUGCCUAACACAUGCAAGUCGAACGGGACCUGCGGGUCUAGUUGCGCACGGGUGCUGAACGCGUGAGAACCUGGCCUUAGGUUCGGAAUAACUCCCCGUAAGGGGGGUUAAUGCCUGAAAAUGUGUUCGGACCAAGGAUUUAUGGCGUUUUGCUGGGCGGGGGUUGGAUUAGCUAGUUGGUAGGGGAAUAGCCUACCAAGGCUACGAUCCAUAGCUAGUCUGAGAGGAUGGUCAGCGAGACUGGGACUGAGACACGGAGCAGACUCCUACGGGAGGCAGCAGUGGGGAGUAUUGGACAAUGGGCGAAAGCCUGAUACAGCAAUGCUGCGUGAGUGAUGCAGGCCUUAGAGUUGUACAGCUCUUUUACCCGGGAUGAUAAUGACAGUACCGGGAGAAUAAGCGCCGGCUAACUACGUG